Molecule: RNA transcript, 2321 nt
Organism: Carya illinoinensis
Lineage: Eukaryota; Viridiplantae; Streptophyta; Magnoliopsida; Fagales; Juglandaceae
Exons: 6
Source: RefSeq, a predicted model, not a curated record
CCCAAAAAAAAAAAAAAAAAAAAAAACAGAAUUACCAUUUUUUAAUGAUGAAGGGUUAAGAGUCCAUGUUGUUUGCUUCAUUCCUUGGAGAAACGUUUUGAGUAAUUAUCUUAUAUUGCUAUCCUUUAUGUCAUUGAAUAGGUGGUUUUGAAUUCAGUUGAAUCCCUGGUUUAUGGGCAUUGACCUCAAGUACGUGAUUUGGUUAUCAUUUUUCUGGGGAUAUUCUUCAAUGGUCAACAAAUGAGAUUUUUCUUUGUUAGAGCUUGAAUGAUGGCUGGCUACUUAUCAACCUAUCAAUUCUAGCAAGAAGCAUUCAUGAUGCUACCAUGGGUGGAUCAAUGAUCCUCUACCAACUUUUCUGUACCAAAGAACAAGACAGAGUUAAGGACAGUUUUGGAGAUUGAAACAAUUUGUACAGUUGCUCUAAUUGCUCCUUGGUAAAAGGUAAUGCAUCCAAGUUGGUAGAAAGCUACUGAAGCUCUUCAGCAGUGGUUUGGUAGGCGCAACCAUCACGUUUGGAUUUUGGCUUCCAAUUUACUGGUUUACCAUGAAGUUUCCAACACGUCUCCUUCUUAUGCCACGGUUUUUUGCAGUGCUCGCACCAUGGUUUAUUACGCCUGUCAUUUUCAGAAUCAACACUUCUUGACAUGAGCAGAAUUCUCAGGUUCCAGGAUUAAAGCAGUUUCGGUAUUGCGCAGCAUGAUUGUUCUCCUUGACUCCUGAUGUCUAACUUCAGAAAAAACUUCCCGAAUAGAGGGCAAUGGUUGCCUGCGGAGAAUGUGGCCGUGAACCUCAUCCAAACUUCGAUUAAGUCCGGCUAAAAACAUGUGGAAUCCAUUUGGGAGUGAUUUUUGCAAAUUUCCAUGUCCAGGCUUUGCAAUGCCCUUUAUAGAUAUAUAUAUGGCCUUUUUGACAAAACUGCUUUAUGGUUGGGCUCUUGAUAUUAACCAGGUUUAUCCAGUUAUUGAUGCCAAGUUGCAAGAAUGAGGUGAUGCCCAGAGGCCAUGGAGAUUGCCUCCACAGAAUUCUUGAGAAGGGACAAUUCAGGAAAAGAUGAUCUGUGGUUUCUACUUCCAACUGACAGGAGAGAGCUGGGCUGCAUUUUGGUCAAUUGAUUGGACAGUGAUUGCAGCAUAGACUGACUUAACAGAGAAUUUACCUGGAAAGUGAUGAAUCCAUUCAGGGAUGUCUGGUUGAUUAUGGAAAUGAUAUCGAGUGAGAUGGAUUUUUUGGAUUUCUGCUACUGGUUCUUGUGAGAACAAUGCCUGAAGGAGGCGGGUGUUCCAUCUCCUAAGUUUCUCCAAGGGUUGGUUGCUUAUGAUUAACAAGCCUGAGUUUAUGACAGCUGCUGUAAUAGCCAAUUGCACUCCUUAUAACCGGGCAGGUACAUGGCAUUUAGAUGAGCUAACAAGCAAAAACAUGUAUUUAAGAAGAAUUCCAAAGCACUUAUAUGAGGCAAGUCUCCAAAGGUCAUUGGGGGGAAAUUCCUUGCUUCCAGUUUCUGGUAAGACUGCUGUAUGAUUAAAUUGCUUACCGUGGUAUUGUUCUUUUCUCCUCAUCACCAACUUUUUUACACCAUUGAUUUCAAUUAUUAUCAAUAAAAAUCAAGGAGAAACUACUAUCUAUCAUCGCUGGUGCAGGACCCAUUAUUGGAGUCAGCAUUGUCUCUUACGUGUGGCAUUGUUUCUAGCUAGGAUAUAGUGGACUAUCCCUAAAGCUUAGAGAUUUUUUUCAUUGUUCCACCCCUCAAGGGACAGGAGAGGAGGUAAAUAGAAAGAGUAUAUCGCAUCGCAUCACAUCACAUUUAAUACUAGAGUAUAGUAUCUUCCCUUAAAGGGGACAGAUUGAAUUCGUGUGUCAUACUGAUAUGUUCAUGUUUAGUACAUUAGUGUAGAAAUCUCCAUCUCCUUAAUGGCGUUAUGGAGAUUAAUCCUGAUGCUUUAUGUCUUAAAACUUCCCGACAUUGUGAUUGUUCUGUUGAAGGGGAGUUGCAAGGCACUGUAAUUUCCUAGGGGAUGUGCUGCUUGCUCUUCCUUCAAUUUACCCUGUUGGAAAAGGUAUUUCAUGAUUCCUUUACACAAUGUCUUUCCUUGGAAUAUAUUUGCAUUUUGAGAUAUCUGUCACUUUGCAGCUCCCCAAUUCCAUACUUUUAUCCCGUCUAUCUUCUUAUUCUGUUAAUUUGGAGAGAAAUGAGGGAUGAACAAGUCUAGGCAGAAUACUGUAGACUUGUUCCAUGGAGAAUAUUACCAAUUACUUCUACUAGCACUUGGAAUUUUUGAUCUAUCAAAUAUUGCCGGGUGCAUAUUUUUAUGUUGUUUUUA